This 465-nucleotide ribosomal RNA is filed under the name uncultured bacterium. Its description in RNAcentral is "bacterial SSU rRNA". It matches the Rfam family "Bacterial small subunit ribosomal RNA", at positions 917 to 1382 of the family's 1533-position model. The record is from RNAcentral.
GGGCCCGCACAAGCGGAGGAACAUGUGGUUUAAUUCGAUGAUACGCGAGGAACCUUACCCGGGCUUGAAUUGCAGACGAACGCGGCAGAGAUGCCAAGGCCCUUCGGGGCGUCUGUGAAGGUGCUGCAUGGUUGUCGUCAGCUCGUGCCGUGAGGUGUCGGCUUAAGUGCCAUAACGAGCGCAACCCCUCUCCUUAGUUGCCAUCAGGUGAUGCUGGGCACUCUGGGGACACUGCCGCCGUAAGGUGUGAGGAAGGUGGGGAUGACGUCAAAUCAGCACGGCCCUUACGUCCGGGGCUACACACGUGUUACAAUGGCGCGUACAGAGGGCAGGCCGCCGGCGACGUCGGUCCAAUCCAUAAAACGCGUCCCAGUUCGGACUGGGGUCUGCAACCCGACCCCACGAAGCUGGAUUCGCUAGUAAUCGCGCAUCAGCCAUGGCGCGGUGAAUACGUUCCCGGGCCUU